GCGUCCGUAGCUCAGCUGGAUAGAGCGCCGGACUUCGAAUCCGUAGGUCGCAGGUUCGAAUCCUGCCGGGCGUA
Molecule: transfer RNA, 74 nt
Filed under: Sediminispirochaeta sp.
Lineage: Bacteria; Pseudomonadati; Spirochaetota; Spirochaetia; Spirochaetales; Spirochaetaceae
Also listed under: 3 other names
Description: tRNA-Arg
Rfam family: tRNA
About the family: Transfer RNA (tRNA) molecules are approximately 80 nucleotides in length. Their secondary structure includes four short double-helical elements and three loops (D, anti-codon, and T loops). Further hydrogen bonds mediate the characteristic L-shaped molecular structure. tRNAs have two regions of fundamental functional importance: the anti-codon, which is responsible for specific mRNA codon recognition, and the 3' end, to which the tRNAs corresponding amino acid is attached (by aminoacyl-tRNA synthetases). tRNAs cope with the degeneracy of the genetic code in two manners: having more than one tRNA (with a specific anti-codon) for a particular amino acid; and 'wobble' base-pairing, i.e. permitting non-standard base-pairing at the 3rd anti-codon position.
Source: RNAcentral